CAGGAAUUUACCGUACGUUUCUAAACAUGUCAGAAACGCAUGUUUGGAGCACCGUACGUUGAACGCAUGUUUGGAGAACGUAUUGUUUACAUGCGUUUAUGGGAAACAUGCGUUUGAAAACACAUGGUUAACGCAUGUUUAUAUGUGAAACAUGCGUUUGAAGACACAUGGUAAACGCAUGUUCAUGGUAACCGUAUGUUUGA
RNAcentral lists this long non-coding RNA (203 nucleotides) under Mytilus galloprovincialis (Mediterranean mussel). Lineage: Eukaryota; Metazoa; Mollusca; Bivalvia; Mytilida; Mytilidae. The record is from RNAcentral.